This 254-nucleotide ribosomal RNA is filed under the name uncultured bacterium. RNAcentral describes it as "partial 16S ribosomal RNA". It matches the Rfam family "Bacterial small subunit ribosomal RNA", at positions 524 to 776 of the family's 1533-position model. The record is from RNAcentral.
UACGUAGGGUGCAAGCGUUAAUCGGAAUUACUGGGCGUAAAGCGUGCGCAGGCGGUUGAUGUAAGACAGGUGUGAAAUCCCCGGGCUUAACCUGGGAACUGCAUUUGUGACUGCAUCGCUGGAGUGCGGCAGAGGGGGAUGGAAUUCCGCGUGUAGCAGUGAAAUGCGUAGAUAUGCGGAGGAACACCGAUGGCGAAGGCAAUCCCCUGGGCCUGCACUGACGCUCAUGCACGAAAGCGUGGGGAGCAAACAGG